RNAcentral lists this long non-coding RNA (1568 nucleotides) under Fukomys damarensis (Damara mole-rat). RNAcentral describes it as "lncRNA (ENSFDAG00000022554.1)". The record is from RNAcentral. Lineage: Eukaryota; Metazoa; Chordata; Mammalia; Rodentia; Bathyergidae.
AAAGAAUGAAUCUCCGAGAGCUUGCCCAUCUUUCAACCCUGGAUGCGGGCAGAAAGAGGACUUCACUGAUGAGUUCUGGUGCCACCCUGCGGCCCACCCACCAGAUUUGACCUCAUGCUGAUUAGGCCGUACUGUGACUACCAGCAUCUCCGUCCAUCUGUCCCACAUCCACAGAUCCACCUAGUGCCUCCCCUCCUGCUCCCCAAAAGUUCAGAGUCUGGCUUGCAGACUUGCAAAUGCAAAUCAUUCUGGACUCAGGCCAAGAAGAGGAGAAAGGGUCGAACUGCUGGGCCCACAGCCUGCAGUAGCAGUGAGGGUACCAGCUCAGCCUGCUUCUUGGAGACCAGUGGAAGAAUCAGACACCAGUGCCUCUGGCCUACUCAGAACUUCACAGCGUUCCUCUGCACCUACAAACUCUUCGAUUCUUUUCACUGCAAUGCUAUAGCUGAGGAAAUGUGGCUCACAGAGGUUGUGUCUCAUCCAAGGUCACAUAGCCAGACAACAGUCCCAGAGCCGACCAUUUGUUCAGUACUUUUCCCUUCAAGGAUGGUAUUUACCCUUUCGUGUUUCUGCUGGGUGUCAGCAGCAGCAGUGACUACUCUGGGGCAGCAGGAGCUGUGUGUGCGAGAGUGCAGAGGCAAGAGAAGCUUGGAGUUCUUAAGAAACUGUGCAGAAUUCCCUGGCUGGAAAUGGAGCUGUGAAUACAGGAGAUGUGGAUAAAAGAUGAAUUGGGAAUAGACUGUGAAGGGCUUUGAAUGCCACUCCAAGGACCGUGGGCUUAACCUCUUUGGAAAAGUGAGCUUCUGGAGCAAGUCACCAGGAGAUAGUUAUAUAUUUGUGCAAGGAAGCUGGGGAUUGAACCCAAGCCCUUGACACUGAGCUACACCCCCAGUCCUUUUUGGUUUUUUAUUUUAAGACAGGGUCCCAUUAAGUUACCAAGUUGCCCAGACAGAGUUUAAACUCAUGAUCUUCUUGCCUCAGCCUCCCACAGUGUUGGGAUUGCAGGCACGUACUACCAUACCUGCCUUUUCUUUUCUUUUCUUUUUUCUUUUUAUAACAAACUGAACAAAUUCGGGCAAGCAGGAAUCAUGAAACUAAUUUCUCCCCUCAGGUUUGUAGUCUGGAUUUGCCCUAACUUUCUGCUACAAUGUUCCCCACCCACCCCGUGCUAAACACCACUCCCAAGAAAAUGCACCUCAAGGGGCAGGUGACUACAGACACAGGUUUCUGGUGCUUUGCAUCUGGCCCCAUCUCAGCCAAGGCUGUUCUGGCAGCCCUCAGUUUCCCCCAGCUCUGCUCCAGGCAGAAUCCUGGAGGCAAAGCCAGAGCCAGGCCCGUGGAAAUAAGAACAGAGACUGCUGUCCUCCAACUGUCCCACUUCAAAUAACCUGGAAAGACUGCACUUGGGAGAAACACAUCUCUCCCUUCCCUUAUGCAAACCCCAUGUAGCUGGAGCCCAAGUCCAAAGUCCUGACGCUUUCCUCUUCCCAAAGAUUCAGAGUGCUAAUAAGGACCAGAUGUGAAACAAGAGGCUCCUGGCCUAUCUCUCAGUGAUAUUUGAAUAAGCC